GAGGGGGAGAAACAGCACAGAGUCCACCAUUCCUGCAGCUUGUGCCCAUGGCAGCAGAGCAAGUGGAUAAUAACUCUCUCAGAAUAAUAAUAAUAAUAAUAAUAAUAAUAAUAAUAAUCACAUCAGUCUCGAGAUCUGUCUAAACAGAGCACUCCAAGCAGCUUACUCCCAGUCAGGAAGAGUUGGUAUAUGAGCUGAAACCUCUCUGCCAGCCCAAAUUUGAUUGGUUGUCUGACUCCAAGAAUACCAAGCUAAAAGGACCAUCACCAUUACCGACCGUCCCAACGUCCUCCUGGCCUCCUGGAUCUGCAGGACAAGGUUGGCCCAUAUUUCCAAGAGGAGACUAGGACUGCCCUUCACUUAGGAGGGUGGCUCGGAGCCCACUUCUGCCCUCCCUACCACUGGUCUCCUCCUUCGGGUGUCUUCAGAAGAGACUUCUGUUGAAGAGGAGAUUCAUUCAUCAGCAGAUGAGCCAUUUUCAUGUUUAGACCAAACCUCCAGCCAAAACAAACAAACAAACAAAGUUCCUAUCAAGACAAGUCAGUAUGUUGGCUUAACUCUCAGAGCCUUGCCUGGAUGUCAGGAUCCUUUGAUGGUGACCUCCGACCUGGGGAGCUCCGGAAGGCUUUGAGGUGCCAUUCCACUGACAUUCCACUCUGGGAGGCUCUGCCUCACGCCUAACGCACCUGCCAGCAAUUAAAGGUCCCCUCCCCAGCGACCUGGGCUCGCCUGGGGGGCCCAGGGUCUCUUACCUUUCAAGAGUCCCGAGCCACCCGGCUGUAUGGGUUCCCACAACCUCCUCCCUUCCCUUCACAACAGUCAUGUCCCUACCCCGUUAAUAACCUGCCUUCUUCAGGAAGUGAAGUCCGACCAGGGAUAGCACGACACGCCGAAAGAACAGAGAACUGGGGACAGAGGACCCACAUUCCAGCUCUGCCUCAGCCGCCAACUUGCUCUAGGACUGUGGCAAGUCUCUCCCGUUCUCCAACACCACUUCCUGGCGACAGUGCUGGACCAGAUCAGUGUUUCUUAGAGUUGACCCCGAGAUGUCCCAUAUCAGAAUCCUCUGGAAGACUCAUUAAAAAUCCAGGCUCAAACUCUCCACCCCAGAUCCACUAUGACAGAAUUUCUUUUCUUUUCUUUCCUUUCUUUUUUUUUUUGAGGAAGAUUAGCCCUGAGCUAACUGCUGCCAAUCCUCCUCUUUUUACUGAGGAAGACUGGCCCUGAGCUAACAUCCAUGCCCAUCUUCCUCUACUUAUAUGUGGGACGCCUACCACAGCAUGGCAUGCCAAGCAGUGCCAUGUCCUCACCCGGGAUCCAAACCGGUGAACCCUGGGCCUCCGAGAAGCAGAAUGCGCAAACUUAACCACUGCGCCACCGGGCCGGCCUCUAUGGCAGAAUUUCUGGAGGUAAGGCAUGGCCUGCAUUUCAACACAGGCCCCAGGUGUGUCUUAUGCCCACUGAGGGCUGAGCAGCACUGUCCUGCUUUGUUCCAAACUACAGCUGUCCCUGAGAAUCCCCUUACGUGCUUAGUCUGAACUCGCUCGGGCUCUACGUGGGGGCAGAUUUGCCAAGAAGCGAAUGACCUUUGUACAGGCUCCUGGCAAGGCCCUGGGAGGAGCCGUGGUAAAGUCACGUUCACACUAGUGAAUUCUUUUACUUAAAGAAUAAAAGAAUAUGCUACCACAUACUAAAAACUCAGGCCCCAAGAAACCUGGCUUGGCCCCUGGUUGAGCUAGUUGAGUGGUGACUUGUAUAGGAUCGUAAACCUUUUUCACACCUCCCUCUCUGAUGAUAGACAGGCUUGUCUCCUCUUCCUCUGGCAUUGCCCAUCCUUUGUACUGUCCAAUAUUCUUUGCACAGUGAGAGCUAUAACAUCACCUCUAACAAUCACUGUGGUGAUUCCAGAGGUCAAAUUCCAAUGAUCCGCCUGUGGUCAGA
This 1941-nucleotide long non-coding RNA is filed under the name Equus asinus (donkey). RNAcentral's name for it is "lncRNA (ENSEASG00005028724.1)". The record is from RNAcentral. Lineage: Eukaryota; Metazoa; Chordata; Mammalia; Perissodactyla; Equidae.